GAGCACGUAGGUGGGUUUGUAAGUCAGAUGUGAAAGCCUUCUGUUCAACGGAAGAAUUGCAUCUGAAACCGCGAGUCUUGAGUGUAGGAGGGGAGAAUGGAACUUCUGGUGGAGCGGUGAAAUGCGUAGAUAUCAGAAGGAACGCCGGCGGCGAAAGCGAUUCUCUGGCCUAUUACUGACACUCAGUGUGCGAAAGCUAGGGGAGCAAACGGGAUUAGAUACCCCGGUAGUCCUAGCCGUAAACGAUGGGCACUAAGUAGAGGGGUUUU
This 269-nucleotide ribosomal RNA is filed under the name uncultured Planctomycetales bacterium. Its description in RNAcentral is "partial 16S ribosomal RNA". It matches the Rfam family "Bacterial small subunit ribosomal RNA", at positions 565 to 832 of the family's 1533-position model. The record is from RNAcentral. Lineage: Bacteria; Pseudomonadati; Planctomycetota; Planctomycetia; Planctomycetales.